UACAUAAACCCUACUACUUUAUUAGCCUUCGCUUUGUUGAAGCAGCGGCCGCCGCUCUAUAGUGGCCCCUUACCAUUCUGUUAUACAGAGAAACCGCGGUCGAGGAAACUAAGAAAUUUGGAUUUUUUUUAUUCCUUUUCUUCUCAUUCUCUACCGCGUUUCUCCGUAUAACGAAGUGGUUUUUGGGUCAAUACUAUUAUUCUUUUCGGUCAAUUGUUUGUAUUUUUCUGCCUUCUCUAUGACGACAAUUUUCAGAAAAUUUCUCAGUUUCUAUGUUAAUGACAUGAUUGAAUUUGAUUUUUCUUUUAUGUGGUGGUAUCAGUUAGAUGUUAUGACUAAUUUCUCAUAGAUUUUGUAGUAGUAGGAUAUCUGAAUUGUUGUUAGUGACAGUUGUGAGUAGCAAAAUUUUACUAUGGAGUUGGAGUUAAAUAUAGUUGUAAAGUAAAAAUGAAUUAUAGUGGAAGUACAACUUUUAGGAGUACAAUUUAGAACAAAUGAUUCAUCAAAACACUCAGAUUGCUAAUAUUGUUACUUGCUUAAGAUUGAAAUUUCUGAAAUAUUUCUCUAGUAUGAAUGUGAUUCUCUUAAUAAUGUCUUGCAUAUAUGCUUAUGAUCUUUACUCUGUUAUUGGUUUAUUGUACAUGAUCCUAAGGGCUGCAGUGUUAAGUACCUGUGUUGACCAUUUAGCAACAACCCAUUGAAAAGAAUCAAUUUCCUUUUUAAAUAAAUUUCAUUAAAUGUUAGGGCGAAAAGAAAUACAAGUAGUAUACCAAAAAAGUAAGGAUUUCCUUAUAAGGAUGCACCUUGAUAGAAGCACUGUAGAAUAAUUUAGCUGGUCUUUAAGCACUGGGUGGGUUCUAUGGUCUGAUAGGGCAUCGUUUUUAUAUUGUAACUUAACUAGACAAUUGUACUUUUAUAUGUAUGCUUAGUUGGCCGAUGAAGAUAACUGACUUUAGGAAUGUGGUUCAGGUGUUCAAUGGCUAAAGCGAAGGACCUGCACCUGAAGACCAGCAGCUUUGAGAGUUUACAUUUGUCUGGGACCACCAAUUUUAUGCGCUCAUGCAAAGGUGAAGGAAAAAACUUGUCUCAAAUUCAAAAUAAAAUCAAUAUAGAUAAUCAAGAAAAGAGCAGUCAUAUAUUUCCCUUUGGAGUGAUUGAAGUUUCUUUCCUUCACAAAAUAAGGACAGUAAAAGCUUCUGCAUCAACUUAUUCAAUAUCAUUCCCAUUGUUCGAAGCAUAAUUAAUCAUCGCUUCUGCUUCUGCUGGAAAGACCAAUAUUCUCAUUGAAUUGUGCAUAAAAUGAUACGUUUUGCACAAGGUGUCAUACUUGUGCAGCUCCCAGCCGGCAACUGCUGCUUUUUUGUUCAAUGUUUCAGUUACUUUCCCUGCAUAUCCCAUUCCAUCUUUUCCUAAUUCCAUUGUAACAUCUUUAACUUUAGCAGUUUUUUCCCCAACAUAGCUUGUUGCACUCUUGCUCUGUUCUGGAACGCUCUGUUUUGCAAUUCACGUCAGGGAAAGAAGUUUUUGUUUCA
This is a long non-coding RNA of Nicotiana tabacum (common tobacco), 1532 nucleotides long. RefSeq lists it as uncharacterized. Lineage: Eukaryota; Viridiplantae; Streptophyta; Magnoliopsida; Solanales; Solanaceae. The record is from RefSeq and is a predicted model, not a curated record.